GCCGGGCACGGUGGUGCGUGCCUGUAGUCCCAGCUACUCGGGAGGCUGAGGUGGGAGGAUCACUUGAGCCCAGGAGUUCUGGGCUGUAGUGCACUAUGCCGAUCAGGUGUCCGCACUAAGUUCAGCAUCAAUAUGGUGACCUCCCAGGAGCGGGGGACCACCAGGUUGCAUAAGGAGGGGUGAACCAGCCCAGGUCAGAAACAGAGCAGGUCAAAACUCCCAUGCUGAUCAGUAGUGGGAUCGUGCCUGUGAAUAGCCACUGCACUCCAGCCUGGGCAACAUAGUGAGACCCAGUCUCA
RNAcentral lists this signal recognition particle RNA (299 nucleotides) under Aotus nancymaae (Ma's night monkey). RNAcentral's name for it is "Metazoan signal recognition particle RNA (ENSANAG00000011003.1)". It matches the Rfam family "Metazoan signal recognition particle RNA". From Rfam's summary of the family: The signal recognition particle (SRP) is a universally conserved ribonucleoprotein. Lineage: Eukaryota; Metazoa; Chordata; Mammalia; Primates; Aotidae. The record is from RNAcentral.